Falco peregrinus (peregrine falcon) is the source of this 2749-nucleotide long non-coding RNA. RefSeq lists it as uncharacterized. The record is from RefSeq and is a predicted model, not a curated record. The transcript is spliced from 4 exons. NCBI's taxonomy places the organism in Eukaryota, Metazoa, Chordata, Aves, Falconiformes, Falconidae.
AUUUGUCAGUUUCCAGAAAAUGCGAAUGUAGAAGAACAAGUGUUUAAGUCAUUUGACCCACUGUUUUAUGUCUGAAAAUGGUUAUUCAUAAGCAAGCUGAUUCACAUAACCUUAAGGCUUUAAAACCCAGGAGAAAAAAACCCAGAAGUUCCAUUUGAAAUUGUUGCUUUUUCCAUAAGAGACAGGGUUAUGGAAAGGUCUAUCAUUAUUUGUUAGAUAAGAAAAAGUGUUCAGAGCGUGCUGAUGUGAACAGUGCAAUCCCAAAGUUUUUUUCUGCAAAAGCUUGCCUUCAUGAAGGAGUGAGUGGAUUUCAAAGCACUGGCUGGUAACUAACUACACAGCACUGCGCAAAAGGUCUGUCUAAAAAACAAAAUCUAAAUUGAUUUUGAAGCUCGACAUGCUGGUAUUUCAUCUACAGCAGGAAAUUGUAACAUAAUUUAUAUCUUACAAGAUCUCUCUUCUACAGAACUUAAAUCAUUACAAUGUGCAAUUCAGAUAUUGUGUACAAAUCUUGUUGAAGUUUCAGGUUCCAGAUCUGAAUCUUUUCUUUUGUGAUUUAGACUAUUACACCUGCAGAAGAUACAAACAUUUGUAGUGAUGCCUCAGUGUCCCAUCCAGUUUUGUACUAUAACCCUGUGACCCCAAAUACAUGCAAUUCCAUAUGUGAUCCAGUUAGCUUUAAAAAAAACACACAACAACAAAACAACCCAAAACCUAAAAAAACCAACCACACAGGGCAUGUUCCUGGUCUCCUCCUGCCCUUCCACAGCGUAGACACGGAGCGGAGGAAUGGGAUUCCCAGAUACAGCACUGUGUGCUGCAGUACGUACACUUUGGUUUAACUACUUAGAAAGACACCUCCAAGCCAUUAAAGCUUUAUUCCCUAAAAUACACAGUGUGAUCACACAUAAAAUAAGGGUCAUCUUCCUUUCUACAAUAAGAAAUAUUACAUUAUAGGAUAUAUUCUGGCUAAGAAAAGGUGAUGAAUGUAGGAAUUUUAAAAUAAACAUUUAGCAGCAGUAAACAUUUUUUCUUGCUUUCCCUUUAAUAUAUUUACAGAUUCAAAAAAAAAACCCCAAACCACAAAAGGCAGUUUACUCAAGUUUCUAACUAACCUUACAUGUCAAGAAAAUAUUCCAGGGGCUAACUUCCCUUGCCAUGAUCUCAGUCCAUUACCUCUCUCAUUGCCCAGUGCAGACACUGCAAACAGACUGAUCCCUUAAGCAGCUGCCUUACAAAAGCAGCUGCAGGGAACAAUCACAUGCUUGGAUUUCCAUCACCUUUUCUCAACCAAAUUAAGCAAUUCCCAUUCUUCGACGCUUGCUUUAUUUUCUAGAAUGUCAACUGUUCUUGCUGACUUCUCUCCAUUUGUUCCACAGAUCUCCUGAAGAAAUGGGUCCCAAAAUAAGACAGCUGUACACCCGAGGCUCACAGUACCCACAGCAGAUGGUCUAAAGACUACCCAGUCUAAAAAAAAAACAAACCAGAACCACCUGACCUUCCCUGAAAGAGUCACUUAAGAACACUGGCAUCAUUAUAAGAUAUUCCUGACGACCCCUCUCAGCAAGCUGAAGGGAAAGGAGUACAUCUUGAAAAAGUUUCAGAGCUGAUUGCGAGAUAAGAACAGAAGUUCCCCUGACAGCCUAAGAACACACUGCCCAACAGCAGAGAAGAACCACACCGGACGACAGUGUCAAACCGCAUCCCUUCUUUUCUGAUUUUAUCGCUAUUGAACAACAAGGGAUUUCUCUUUCAGAACAGGAAUUUCAGGGGACUGGUAUAAAACGUCACAAGUUUCCAAAUAACAAAUCUUCCCAGAAGAUUAACUUCCCCUCACCACCUGAAGAGCCGAAGGCCUCCAAUGUCCUAUUCUACCAACAUCAUCAGGGCUUCUGCAUGACAUUGUUGCCAAAUUAAUGGAAGUUCUCACACAGAAAUAAAAAUCUUCAGUUGGAUCACCUCCUCUAGUAUGUUAGUUUCUCUUAAAAUCAAAUACUUUUACAAAUAAAGACCAAAGGUUCUGUGUGUCUGUACUCUAGACGGUGGCAGAAUACUCCGAGUCAGAGUUUAGAUCUGUAUCAAGAAACUGAUAAAACCACAAAAUCCUGAAGAACACAAUUCAAAAUCUGAGUGCUGUUCCCCACAACUGUUAUCUCAAACUAACAAAGAAAAAGUAGUAUUUUUUUUUUCCUUUUACUUUAGUCCAAGAUAAAAGCAGGAAAUUCUGGGGGUUUAUCUGUGUGUGUGCAUGUGUAAAGAAAAAGGAUACACAGAUUACUCUAACAAAAUAGUUUUGGCAAGCACAUGAGAUUUGCAAAACAGAUCAGCACUCUAAAGAAAGCAGCAAAAGCAAAAAACCUUGCAGAAUUCUGUUUUCCAAAAAAACAGGAAUAGGAAACACUUUCUUCUCUGAGGAUGGAUAAGCUAAGGCAAACCAAGGUAGAAGAACUGCUUUACAUCUGCAGAGAAUCUGAUUAUCUGGUAAACAAUUAGUGGCAUUAGUAGUGCCAUUACUAAGAUCUAGUCCAGAGUCAUGAGUCCAUUGUGCCCAGCAUUUCACAAAGACAGAAAGCAACAAGUGCCAUGGCAAAGAUAUGCUUCAUGAAGAGCAAAAUCCCAAAAGAGAGAAGGAAGAGAAGUGAUUUCUGAGCUGAAGAAAGAAGAAUAUCUGCAAUUGAGACAGCCAUUCACAUCAGAAGAAAUACCGAAUUAUCUUUGCAAAAUUAAAAUGUUCACAUUAGAAAACUUA